RNAcentral lists this ribosomal RNA (403 nucleotides) under Salpingoeca fusiformis. RNAcentral describes it as "partial small subunit ribosomal RNA". It matches the Rfam family "Eukaryotic small subunit ribosomal RNA", at positions 30 to 432 of the family's 1831-position model. The record is from RNAcentral. Lineage: Eukaryota; Choanoflagellata; Craspedida; Salpingoecidae.
GCUUGUCUCAAAGAUUAAGCCAUGCAUGUCUAAGUAUAAACGACUUUAUACUGUGAAACUGCGAAUGGCUCAUUAAAUCAGCUAUUGUUUAUUUGAUAGUACCUCACUACUUGGAUAACCGUAGUAAUUCUAGAGCUAAUACAUGCGAAAAGACGCGACUCACGAAGCGUUGUAUUUAUUAGAUACAAAACCAAUGCGGAGCAAUCCGGUUUAUGGUGAUUCAUAAUAACUUUUGCGGAUCGCAUGGCCUUGCGCCGGCGAUGAAUCAUUCAAAUUUCUGCCCUAUCAACUUUCGAUGGUAAGGUAUUGGCCUACCAUGGUUACCACGGGUAACGGGGAAUUAGGGUUCGGUUCCGGAGAGGGCGCCUGAGAAAUGGCGACCACAUCCAAGGAAGGCAGCAGG